Molecule: long non-coding RNA, 2154 nt
Organism: Gavialis gangeticus (Gharial)
Lineage: Eukaryota; Metazoa; Chordata; Crocodylia; Gavialidae
Exons: 3
Source: RefSeq, a predicted model, not a curated record
GCUGGGUCCUCCAGGGAAAUGCCCUGGCUGCUGGCCAGAGUGUCUGCCCUCUUUAGAUCCACCCCAGGUCUUCCAGCAUGCGAGGAGCAGAAGGGAACUGGCACCCAAAGUGGAGCAUUAUGCCCGGCACCACAGUGCAUAUGCAGGGGCGUGCAUGGUGGCAAAAAGCAGAAGCAAAUUUGUACAAGUGCACACCCCUGCAUGUGAGGAUGUGGCCUGGAAGGUCUUUCUAUGGUCACAACUCAUACAUGUGGUAAGCUACAAAUACUCUGGAUCUAUUACCUUUGAGGCUUUUCUUAGCUGCCUACACCUUAACACUUAGAGACCAGUGGCUCAAAACCCACUUAUUCCUAGGUUUGUGUAUAUAUCAGCCAAAUUUAAGUUUUAUUCUUGGGGUGUUUUUUUUAAAAUCUUUUGAAUGCUAACUUUAUGUAAACUAAUGUCAUGCAUCUUCUUCCUACAGAUGCACAGUACCAAUGCUUCUGCUGUCACUCAGAUCAGUGGUUCUCAACCUUUUUAGACUCAAGGCAUCUCUUGGAAAAUUCCAGUUCUUUGACUACAGGGAAACAGUAGAUUGAUUUUUCUGUUGCAAAGAACUUAGAAACAGCACAAUAGGUCAGAAUGUUUUUAACUCCAUGGAUUCCUAGUUGAAAUGUCUGUGUUUAUCUCAUGAAUUGUGUCUGUACAUCUAACAGCACUAGCAUUGUGUGACACCCUUGAAAGGAUCUAAAGGCAAUUCAAAUUACUGCAGCACCCUGGUUACUGCAGCACUGACUCAGAUAUUUCCCAGGCAACAAUGAAAGGAGGACCUAAGGCUAGAUCCUACUAAGCAGACUUAGCUCCCUGUGGAACAUACUCAAAAAUCACAGCACAUUUGCUGUUCUGUCUCAUGUCUGGACAGGACACAAAAUCCCAGUUGUCUGAAACAGGGUUGUCUGCCCAAUUUCAAGAGAGCUCAUCCAUUGGAAAACGACAGAGGAGAAAAAAGAUCUGGGUAUAUUAGCUGAUCAUAGGAUGACACAGCUAUAAAAAGUGAUUUGUGACUGCAUCAGAUGAAUUAUUUCCACUGGAGAUAAAGAAGCAUGGUGGCCUUUAAACAAGACCUAUCACUAUCUGAUAGGACGUGUAAAAUUUUGUUCAACCAUGUUCAAGAAGGAAGAACUCAAAAUGGAACAGAUGCUGGAAAAGUUCACUAGAAUAAUAAGGGGAACACAGAACUUAUCAGGAAACAUUAGCAUAAAACAGAGAAUGGUCCAGCUGCUAUGUGUAAAUAUGGUGGAGUAUAUAUACACCAAAGAGGAAAAAUGACCAUUUAAGCUAAAGAAAAAAAAGGGGAAUAAAGUGGCAAUGAAGAAAUAUGAUGGAAACUUAAAAAAUGAAUUUCCGGAACAGCUUCCCAAUAGAAGUAGAAAUAAAAAUUCAGCCACUUUUAACACGGAGCUUAAGAGGUUAUAUGAUGUGGUUACCUCAGCUCAGUGACCAGAUGGUUCCUUUCAGUCCUAUGUUUCUAACUGUACUCAGCCAGUUUUGUGAACAAGAUGUCAAGGGUGAAUCAGGUCAAAUACUCCACUUAGCAGGGAGCCUUCACCUGGGAAAUCAUAGAAGGACUUUGUAUUUUUCCUUUCCUUUUCAGUAUUUUCUACAUUAAACUAGUAGCCAAAAACACAGAAUUUUUAUAAGGCAUUUUUGUUUUGUUUUCUGAGUCAUUUUAUCUAAACUCCAGUGCAACUAAUAUACUUGGGAGAAAAGCCCUAUCAACUUUCAAAGAUUUGCUAAUGUUUAUACAUUCAUGCACAUAGGCAUCAUAUAUUGUAUUCCUGUAUAAAAACUACCCUGAAUAUUUUUAGCUCAGCAUGCCUAUAGAAAUAAUACUAAUAAAACAAGAGAACAUUCUUUUGAAGUAUCUUUCAUAAAUAGAAAGCAAGAGUCUAACAAAAGCCCUACAUGUCUCUGUUCAAAGAGCAAUGUAUAAGUUAGAUCUAAGGAAGCAUUACUUGAUGGUUACGUUGGAACUAUGUAAGGCCAACUUUCUCAAUAUUGUCUGGAGACCCAUCGUUCCAUAACCUCAGGCUACUACCAGCCCUGUGAUGCCUGUAAAAAAAUGGAGCUAUGUGUGUAUCGGUAUUUGAUGAACUGCAUGAAUAAAUGUUUAAU